This 430-nucleotide ribosomal RNA is filed under the name Bacteroidota bacterium. Its description in RNAcentral is "Bacteroidetes bacterium partial 16S ribosomal RNA". It matches the Rfam family "Bacterial small subunit ribosomal RNA", at positions 355 to 776 of the family's 1533-position model. The record is from RNAcentral. Lineage: Bacteria; Pseudomonadati; Bacteroidota.
UAGGGAAUCUUCGGCAAUGGGGGGAACCCUGACCGAGCAACGCCGCGUGAGUGAAGAAGGUUUUCGGAUCGUAAAGCUCUGUUGUUAAGGAAGAACGAGUGUGAGAAUGGAAAGUUCAUGCUGUGACGGUACUUAACCAGAAAGGGACGGCUAACUACGUGCCAGCAGCCGCGGUAAUACGUAGGUCCCGAGCGUUGUCCGGAUUUAUUGGGCGUAAAGCGAGCGCAGGCGGUCAAUUAAGUCUGAUGUGAAAGCCCCCGGCUCAACCGGGGAGGGUGAUUGGAAACUGGUUGACUUGAGUGCAGAAGAGGAGAGUGGAAUUCCAUGUGUAGCGGUGAAAUGCGUAGAUAUAUGGAGGAACACCAGUGGCGAAGGCGACUCUCUGGUCUGUAACUGACGCUGAGGCUCGAAAGCGUGGGUAGCAAACAGG